RNAcentral lists this ribosomal RNA (449 nucleotides) under uncultured bacterium. RNAcentral describes it as "partial 16S ribosomal RNA". It matches the Rfam family "Bacterial small subunit ribosomal RNA", at positions 30 to 523 of the family's 1533-position model. The record is from RNAcentral.
AUUGAACGCUGGCGGCAUGCCUAAUACAUGCAAGUCGAACGAGAUCUUCGGAUCUAGUGGCGCACGGGUGCGUAACGCGUGGGAAUCUACCCUUGGGUUCGGAAUAACAGUUAGAAAUGACUGCUAAUACCGGAUGAUGACGUAAGUCCAAAGAUUUAUCGCCCAAGGAUGAGCCCGCGUAGGAUUAGCUAGUUGGUGGGGUAAAGGCCUACCAAGGCUACGAUCCUUAGCUGGUCUGAGAGGAUGAUCAGCCACACUGGGACUGAGACACGGCCCAGACUCCUACGGGAGGCAGCAGUAGGGAAUAUUGGACAAUGGGGGAAACCCUGAUCCAGCAAUGCCGCGUGAGCAAUGAAGGCCUUAGGGUUGUAAAGCUCUUUUACCCGGGAUGAUAAUGACAGUACCGGGAGAAUAAGCCCCGGCUAACUCCGUGCCAGCCGCCGCAGUAA